AGUUCGGCGGCCCGCUCCGCUUUUGCGCUUUCUCUGCGGGACGCUCUCCAGCGGGCCCCGGGGGACCGCGGGGUUGACAGCGGUCACGGCCCCCCCCCCACCCCCGCAAAGCGUCCUGCCUGGCUAGGUUGUCCAGGCGCCGCGAAAUCAGCGGAUCCGGCGCCGGGGGCGGCGUGUUGAGGCUGGCACGCAGGCCGAGGGGGCGACCCAGAGAACAGUGAGCCCUGCCCUUCCGGCUCCCUCUCCUCCUUGUCUGAGUGGAGUGGCCCGCACUGACCGGGAGUGAACUCCCAGCUGGCCCAGCAUGAACUGGAAGGUUCUUGAACACGUGCCCCUGCUGCUGUAUAUCUUGGUAGCGAAAACAUUAAUUCUCUGCCUGGCAUUUGCCGGAGCCAAAGUAUACCAAAGGAAAAAAUUGGAAGCAAAACAGCAAAAACUGGAAGCUGAAAAGAAGAAGCAGUCAGAGAAGAAGGAUAACUAAAGGGAAAUCACAGAGUCAUCAUUUUGUGUGUUAACCGCAAAGAGAAAGAGAAGAUGAGGCGUGAGGUCGUAAACGCUUCUUCCUUCCCGCAGACUUCAGUAGAGGCCCGUCAGCGAGAUUUUGUAAUUUAAAUGUCAGCUUGAGUGGACUCCGGCUGAGAAGAAAGAUUUAAUUAUUGAAUGGUGUGUCAGAAGAAAACUCCCAGCCUAUAGUCUAACUUAAAAUGAUGUGAAUUUUUAUGUGCUUUUAAAAGAACCAGUAUUUUGUUUACUAAAAUAAAAUACCUUUGUAAAAA
Balaenoptera ricei (Rice's whale) is the source of this 776-nucleotide RNA transcript. It is a transcript of the gene named small integral membrane protein 11, with no coding region annotated. The record is from RefSeq and is a predicted model, not a curated record. NCBI's taxonomy places the organism in Eukaryota, Metazoa, Chordata, Mammalia, Artiodactyla, Balaenopteridae. The transcript has 5 exons.